AUUGAACGCUGGCGGCGUGCUUUACACAUGCAAGUCGAACGGUAACAGGCCUUCGGGUGCUGACGAGUGGCGAACGGGUGAGUAAUGCAUCGGAACGUACCCAGAGGUGGGGGAUAACGCAGCGAAAGCUGUGCUAAUACCGCAUGUGAUCUGAGGAUGAAAGCGGGGGACCGAGCAGCAAUGUUUGGCCUCGCGCCUUUGGAGCGGCCGAUGUCGGAUUAGCUAGUUGGUGGGGUAAAGGCCUACCAAGGCGACGAUCCGUAGCUGGUCUGAGAGGACGACCAGCCACACUGGGACUGAGACACGGCCCAGACUCCUAAGGGAGGCAGCAGUGGGGAAUGUUGGACAAUGGGCGCAAGCCUGAUCCAGCAAUGCCGCGUGCGGGAAGAAGGCCUUCGGGUUGUAAACCGCUUUUGGCAGGAACGAAACGGUGUCCGCUAAUACCGGGCGCUAAUGACGGUACCUGCAGAAUAAGCACCGGCUAACUACGUG
Molecule: ribosomal RNA, 492 nt
Filed under: uncultured bacterium
Lineage: Bacteria
Description: partial 16S ribosomal RNA
Rfam family: Bacterial small subunit ribosomal RNA
Source: RNAcentral